Molecule: ribosomal RNA, 509 nt
Filed under: uncultured bacterium
Lineage: Bacteria
Description: bacterial SSU rRNA
Rfam family: Bacterial small subunit ribosomal RNA
Source: RNAcentral
GGCUCAGGACGAACGCUGGCGGCGUGCCUAACACAUGCAAGUCGAGCGGGGACAUGCGACGGAUAGGAAGUUUCGGAUGGAAUUGAAGAUGUAUGUUCUAGCGGCGGACGGGUGAGUAACGCGUGAGCAACCUGUCCUUCACAGGGGGAUAACACAGCGAAAGUUGUACUAAUACCGCAUAAGACCACGUUGGGACAUCCCAAAGGGGUCAAAGGAGCAAUCCGGUGAAGGGUGGGCUCGCGUCCGAUUAGAUAGUUGGUGAGGUAACGGCCCACCAAGUCGACGAUCGGUAGCCGACCUGAGAGGGUGAUCGGCCACAUUGGGACUGAGACACGGCCCAAACUCCUACGGGAGGCAGCAGUGGGGAAUAUUGGGCAAUGGGGGGAACCCUGACCCAGCAACGCCGCGUGAGGGAAGAAGGUUUUCGGAUCGUAAACCUCUGUCCUAUGUGAAGAGUUUGAGACGGUAGCAUAGGAGGAAGCCCCGGCUAACUACGUGCCAGCCGCGGC